Molecule: ribosomal RNA, 253 nt
Filed under: uncultured bacterium
Lineage: Bacteria
Description: partial 16S ribosomal RNA
Rfam family: Bacterial small subunit ribosomal RNA
Source: RNAcentral
UACGUAGGGGGCAAGCGUUGUCCGGAUUUAUUGGGCGUAAAGAGCGUGUAGGCGGCCAGGUAGGUCAGCUGUGAAAACUCGAGGCUCAACCUCGAGACGCCGGUUGAAACCAUCUGGCUAGAGUCCGGAAGAGGAGAGUGGAAUUCCUGGUGUAGCGGUGAAAUGCGCAGAUAUCAGGAGGAACACCAAUGGCGAAGGCAGCUCGCUGGGACGGUACUGACGCUGAGGAGCGAAAGCGUGGGGAGCGAACAGG